This 10129-nucleotide long non-coding RNA is filed under the name Capsicum annuum. Its description in RNAcentral is "long non-coding RNA (CANN_LNC014637)". The record is from RNAcentral. Lineage: Eukaryota; Viridiplantae; Streptophyta; Magnoliopsida; Solanales; Solanaceae.
AUCAGUCUUACCAUUGCCUGGGGAGGUUAGAGAGGCCUUCCCGCAAUGGAAAGUCAUUGUGACGACAUCAGGGCCGUAAAGGAACUCCAUCAACAACACGAAAGCCGUAUACAAACCCUACACAAUGCUUAAUUGGAACGCUUCUCCUCUCUACAGACCGUAGUACACGACAUCGUCUCUUCCCUCAACCUCUCUCUUAAAACCAUUUCCCCAUUCAAUGGAAAACCCGUUACCCCCUUACCCACCCCCUCCCUAAUGUCCCGAAAGUUAAACGUGUUUUAGAACUUUCUAUAAAAGUAUCGUUGAUGAGUGUGGGGCCUGUUGUUGGUUGUGAGGGCGAUAGGUAUGGUGUGUUUGUUGGAGAGGGUACCGUUUACUGUUGUUGAUUCGUCGACGUCGUUGAGGAAGUUGGAGAGUGAGGAGUUGGAGGAUGCGGAAAAGUUGGCGUCUAGGGAGCUUGGAAGGGAGUCAGGGGUGGGUAGUAGCGAUGGAAGUGGCGUUGAAAUUGAUGGCGGAGGAUAAUGCUUGUGUUAAAUUAGAGAAUUUUGUGGUUAGUGGUAAAUCUAGGAUUAUGGGGUUCAACGUUGAUAGGACUAGGUUGUUGAAAGAACUGUGGGAGAGUAAGCAUGUUUCGGAACUUUCUAGAAGUAUUGUUGUUAAUGAGAAGGAGAAAAUAGUAAUUGAUGAGUGUUGAGGGCCGUUGUCGGUUGUGAGAGUGAUGGUUGAACUGAGUUUGUUGGAGAGAGUGUCUUUUACUGCUAUUAAUUUGUGGAUAUUGUUGAGGAAGUUGGAGAAUGAUCUGUUGGAGGAUGUUGAGAAGGUGGUGAGUAGGGAGCUUGGAGGGGAGUCAGGGGGAUUGUAGCGGUGGAAAUGGUGUUCAUAUCGAUGGCUGAGGAUAAUGGUUGUGUUGAAUUGGAGAAUUUUAUGGUUAGUGGGAAAUCUAGGAUUAUGGUGUUGAAUAUUGAUAGGAAUAGGUUAUUGAAAGAAGCAGAAUGAGGGGAGUGUUAGUGGAGGAAAUCGAGGUAAUAAGGAAAUGGUGAAAAGAGGGAGUGAUAAUGGAAGAGGAGUUUCUGGAAUGGGAAGGGCAAUGAGUUAAAUAUGGAGCAUUCACAUAUGCAGGGGAUGACAGGUAUAUCUCCGGGGAAUAUGGGUAGUUCGAGAGGUGGGCAUAGAGGAAUGGUGGGUACGAUGGGGAUGCUGAGAGGUGUUGGUGUUCCACCUCCGAUGCCUAGACCACCAAUGUUGCCAAAUGGGCUCGUAGGAGGAGGAAAUUCUAUUGCUUUGAAGGCUAGGACAGAAGAAGAUGUGAGGAAAGAUUUAGGGAAUAUGUUGAAUAAGAAAAGCUUUAGGUAAAUGCAGAAAUCAAAAACUGGAGAGGAGUUAUUGGACCUUAUUCGUCUGUCCACAGUGAAGGAAUCUGCCAUUGCUGCAAGGGUAUUGGAUAAUCCCCGUUUUCUUUUGAAUUCAUUUAUCAGAGCUUUGUGUUUCCAAUUUCAGAAACUUUUUGUUUGAUAAUUUCUAUAGAUAUAAAUUUCUCGCAGAUAUCAUGAAUUGAUUAAUUUUGCAUUCCUUGAUAUAAUGCAUUAUGGAAAUAAGUGAAACUUGCUAAGUUACAGCUGCUUCAUAUUUCUACUUGAAUUGCGGUGUGCCAAAUUUGUUUCUUCUUCUUUUUAACUUUGUUAUAUUUUGCAUUUUAGUUGAACGGGGUUCCUCCUAACCUUAUUGAUUGAAUUUCCUAUGUUGCUCUGCUCCACGUCUUUUCUUGUCUAUUGUUUCUUUGUUAAAGCUUUUGUUGUGCAUUAUCUCAUAUUAAUUGAUGCCUUUUUAAAUUUGAAUUUCCUACGUUGUUCUGCUGCACGUGUUUUCGUGUCUCUUGUUUCUUUGCUAAAGCUUUUGUAGUGCAUUAUCUCAUAUAACGGAAGGGAUAUAUUUGGACCUAAACUCAAAAAAGAGAUACAUUUAAAUUAUUUUUGAUAAUACAUGAAUGUAUUUGACUCUUUGUCAUAUAAAUAUUCUCCCACAAAAAUGGAUCUACUUCUUUCAAACCUCCUCAGAUCCUAUUUGUGACCUUACACUGCACUAUAUUAUUGACUUGUUGUAUACUCUUCCUGUUUUAAUUUAUUUGUCCUACUUUUCAUUUUAGUCCAUUUAAAAAAGAAUGAUCCUUUCCGUCUUUAGCAUCACGUUAAUUGCAAUUUUCCAUGUGGCAUUGUUUAAGACCACAAGAUUAAGGACAUUUUUGGUACAUUUGACAUAUCUUAAUUUAAACCACAAGAUUCAAUAGUUUCUUUACUUUCUUAAACUCGUGUCAAGUCAAAAUAUAUCAAAGAAAUUGUAACGGAUGGAGUAAUUUUAAAAGAUUAGAAUGUGUUUAAUAAUCAGCAAAGUUGGAUGCUGAGCAGGAUUAUUUCCUGAUUUUCCCUCUUUCGUUCAACAUAAAGAAACCCUAGCUCAAAACCUUCUCCACUAAUAGACCUCGCGAUCUGAAUCUAAGAUUGAAGAAAACUACCAACAAUGGAAAGUCACUCUGACGGCACCUGAUGAAAUCACGGCUGUGAAGGAGCUCCGGCAACAACACGAAACCUGUAUACAAAGGCUAUGCAAUACUCAAUUGGAACUCAUCACCUCUCUACAAACCAAAAUACCCGACGUUGUCUCUUCACUUGACCUCUCUCAAGACCAUUUCAUCCUUCAAUGGCAGACCCUUUACCCCUUUACCCAACCCCCUCCCUAAUGCCCCUAACCAUAACCCUAAUUUACCUGUCCCCAAGAUCAAAUGUGUUUCGGAACUUUCUAGAAGUGUUAGUGAGAAGGAGAAGAUGGUAAUUGAUGAAUAUGGGGGAUCUUUGUCGGUUGUAAAGGCGAUGGUUGCUGUGUAUUUGUUAGAGAGAGUACCAUAUACUGCUAUUGAUUCAUUUUCUUUGUUAACGAAGUUGGAAACUGAUCAUUCACAUAUGGCUGCUGAGAAGGCCGCGAUUAGGGAGCUAGGAGGGGAGUCGGGGGUGAUAAUGGCAUUGAAAUCGAUGGCGGAGGAUAAUGGCUGUGUAGAAUUGGAGAGUUUUGUAGUUAGGGGGAAAUGAUUAUGGUGUUAAAUAUUGAUAGGACUAGGUUAUUGAAAGAAUUUCCGGAAAGCAUGCAGAAUGAGGGAAGUAUUAGUGGAGAAAAUCGGAGUAAUCAGGAAAUGGUGAAAAGAGGGAGUGAUAAUAGAAGAGUAUUUGGAAUGGGAAGGGCAAUUAGUGAAAUGUGGGAGCAUCCACAUAUGCAGGGAAUGACAGCUAUGUUUCCUGGGAAUAUGGGCCUACCGAGAGGUAGGCAUAGAGGAAUGGUAGAUAUGCUGGGGAUACCAAAAGGUGUUGGUAUUCCACCUCCGAUGCGUAGACUGCCAAUGGGGCCGAAUGGGCCUGUAGGAGGAGGAAAUUCUAUUGCUUUGAAGCCUAGGACAGAAGAAGAUGAGAUGAAUGAUUUACAGAAUAUGUUGAAUAAGAAAAGUUUUAGGGAAAUGCAUUGGAGAGGAGUUAUUGGACCUUAUUUAUCGGCCCACUGCGAAGGAAUCUGCUGUCCCUGCAAGGGUAUUAGACAAUCCUACUUUUUUGAACUCAUCCAUUGCGGCUUUCUGUUAUCCAUUUCAAAAACUUUCUGUUUGAUAAUUUCUAUAGAUAUAAUUUUCUCGCAGAUAAAAUGAAUUGAUUAAUUUUUUCAUUCCUUGGUACAAUGCAUUAUGGAAAUAAGUGAAACUUGUUAAGUCACAACUAUUUCAUAUUUAUACUUGAAUUGCGAUGUGCCAAAUUUGUUUCUUCUUCUCUCUAACUUUGUCUUUUUUUCAUUUUAAUUGAAAUGGAUCCUCUUAUCUUAUCAUUUAAAUUUCCUAUGUUUGUCUCUUUCCGAAAGAUUUUGUAGUGCGGUAUCUCAUACUAAUUGCUGCUUUUUUAUUUAAAUUGUAUUUCAGUUCAAAAGUAAAGGUGGUUCCUGGGUGAAAGAAUAUUGUUCGGCUUUAACAAAGGAAGAUUGUCGAUACCAAUCUGGUUCCUACAUUGCAUGUGAUAAGGUUAGACCAAGUCGUUUUAAGUGUCACUGCUUUAAAUAUCUUAUUGAAGCUUUUAAAUUGUUACCAUUUGUUUUGAACAUAGGAUGGUAGUCUGAACCAUUAAUGAAUAUUAUAGAUGGUGUCAAUCACAAUGUUAUUGAAAGUCAUUGCUUUGUCGAUUAAAGUGAUGAGAAUAGUGGGGUCAUCGCUUUAUGGGCAAAUCUGGGUGCUAGUGUUUAAUGUGCGCCUCAAAGAGUGACACCUAAAGUAACCCAACAAUAAACAGCCGAUUCAUUGAUUCUCAACUUUGAGGAGCUGGAUUAAAUCAACAUUGUUGCAUAUUAGAUGUCAAAAUCAGUUGUUUUGUUGAAUUUUGAAGUUCAUUGUACUAAAUAAAUAUAUGUAUGAUUUUUAUUUUCUGUGAACUGUGCACUAUGCUUUAAUAAAGCAUGCACUCCAUUUCUUGAUUUUCCCUUAAACAAGUCCGACAGAUCUUGACGUUUUUUGUGUUUUUUUGCUUUUCACUGGUUUAUCCAUACCCUUAUUUCGGAUAGAUAUGGUAACUUUAUUAUGAUGCAUUUUAGGUUUAUCAUUACCUUUAUUUCGGAUAGACAUGGUAACUUUAUUAUGAUGCAUUUUAGGUUCAUUUUCGGCGAAUAAUUGCUGCGCAUACUGAUGUCAACUUGGGUGAUUGCUCUUAUCUUGAUACUUGCCGUCAUAUGAAGGUGAUUUCCAUGACUAACUUGCUUACAGAAGAAUUGGCUUAUAUCUGUUGGAAAUAGAUCAUUUACGCUCAUUUAAUUGGCGGACAUGCAAAUAUGUACAUUAUGAGCUUGACUCGAAACCGGAUGUAUCAACCCUGAUGAUGGGAGCAGCUUCCUUGCCCCCUCCCAAGCCUUUGAAGCCUCAGCGUCCUUGUUACUGUUCAGAAGUAGAGCUUGGUGAACCACAAUGGAUUAAUUGUGACAUUCGGUCUUUUAGAAUGGAUAUUUUAGGGCAGUUUGGAGUUAUAAUGGCUGAUCCACCAUGGGAUAUUCAUAUGGAAUUGCCUUAUGGGACAAUGCCUGAUGAUGAAAUGCGCACUCUAAAUGUUCCUGCACUGCAAACUGAUGGUCUUAUAUUCCUUUGGGUCGCUGGACGUGCAAUGGAUCUUGGACGGGAAUGGUUAGAGUCCUUCUCUCACUUUCAAUAUAUAAAACAUCUUCUUUUCUAGAUGAUAACAAAAAAUAGACUUGUACAGCCUGGCCUAGAUACGUAAAAUCUGAAGUAUGUCCCUGCAUAACAUAAAAGGCUCUUUGAUAGUUUGUGCUUUUUAAGUUGAUUAUCAUUCUUGCAAAAUGUCCAUUGUUAUCAGCGAGUGGUUUCACAAUCAUUCUUGAGGAAUAUCAUUAACUAUUGAUAGCAUAACUUGUGGCUUUUUGGUUGUUGAAAUGAUGUAACUAAUGGUUAUCCUAUAAAAAUGGGGCAUAUGCGAAAGAUCAUUUCUUAUAUUUCUUCCAGUUGUUGCACCCGAGGGUGUGGUUUAGAGGUCAAUGAAGUGGGUUGAGAACUAUGAGGUCCCUGGUUCAAAUCCCAGCAGAGUAGUAAGUAGUAAUAUAUCAAGCUAAACACUCGUAAACCCUACACUACUAAUCUCUGCAUUUUUAGUCACUGCAUAACCUGUCUUAAACAAAACGACCCCUCAAGUAUCUUGGUUCUUUCAUUUGCACACCGAUGAUAAUAAUUGAUAUAAUAUUUACUCCCGAACAUUAAGCUUCUAGAAUUUGAAAUAUCCUGCUCUUUGGCUCUUACUAACAACUGUUUCUUCCCUAUUUAUGUGCAUUAUGACAAUCUCGUAUGGUUUACCAUCUGGUCUUGUGGUGUUUCAGUCAGCAGGUGGUCUUAGAAUUUGCUAUAUAUCUAUGAUAGUACUCACCCCUCAUCCAAAAAAUAUAUGACACACAAAGAGUCUGAACUAGGACUUGUUAUUUAAAGAAUAGGCAGGUCUGAAUGUUUUUCUAAAUUAUUGAACCAAACAUUCAAAACUUAUAGGAAGAAAAUAGCAUUAGAAGCUUGUGUCUUGUGGUACAUUUGACUUGUUCUAGUUGGAGUUUGCGAGGUCCUUUGGGCUGGUGGUGGUGAACUCGGGCUUUCCGAAGAAGGACGAUCACCUGAUCACCUUUCGAAGCGCGAUAGCCAGGACCCAGAUUGACUUUUUGUUGCUUAGGAAAAGGGAUAGGGCGUUGUGUAAGGACUGUAAGGUCAUCCCGAGUGAGAAUCUUUCGACCCAACAUAGGCUCUUAGUUAUGGAUUUGGGUAUAAAGAAGAAUAGAAAGAGGAGGAGUAAGGAGUGUAGACCUAGAAUUAAGUGGGGCGGCUUGACGCCAGUGAAUGCAUGGGAGAUAGGGGAGAAGUUGGCGGGAAUGGGGGUGUGGGAGUGUAGGGGGGACGUGGAUAGUAUGUGGGAUAGGGCGGCUAGGUGCAUCAGGGAGAAUGCUAGUGAGGUGUUGGGUGUUUCUAGGGGCCGGGCCGGGCAUCAUCGGGGGGAUUGGUGGUGGAAUGAAGAGGUGGAGAAGAAAGUGGGGACCAAGAAAGGGGCGUAUGCUAAAUUGGUUGAGAGUAAGGACGAAGAAGAGAAGCGGGUAAACAGGAAAGAGUACAAGCUAGCUAGGAAGGAGGCUAAGUCAGCAGUCACGGCAGCUAAGACGGCCGCUUUUGAGAGCUUGUAUGCAGGGUUACAGGGGAAAGGAGGGGAGAAAAAGUUGUUUAGACUCGCUAAGGCUAGGGAGAGGAAGGGUCGUGACCUCGAUCAGGUGAGGUGCAUUAAGGGGGAGGACGGUAGAGUGUUGGUGGAGGACGGCCACAUAAAGAAGAGAUGGCAGUCGUACUUUCAUAGGCUCUUGAAUGACGAGGGGGACAGAGCUAUUGUGUUAGGGGAACUGGAGCACUCAGGGGAUGUAGACGUUUUAAGGUAGAAGAGGUUAGAGAGGCUGUUCGCAGGAUGCGAAGGGGGAGGGCGACGGGGCCGGACGAGAUACUGGUGGAGUUUUGGAAGUUCGUUGGAGAGACUGGUGUAAGGUGGUUGACUGGAUUGUUUAAUGGAAUCUUCAAGACGGCAAAGAUGCCCGAGGCUUGGAAGUAGAGUACCAUGAUCCCUCUCUCUAAGAAUAAGGGUGACAUCCAGAGUUGCAAUAACUAUAGGGGGAUUAAGUUAUUGAGUCACUCUAUGAAGAUUUGGGAGAGAGUGGUCGAGGUGAGGCUGAGACGGAUAGUGUCUAUUUCGGAAAACCAGUUUGGAUUUAUGCCUGGCCGCUCGACGACGGAGGCAAUUCACCUGGUGCGGAGGUUGGUGGAACAGUAUAGGGAAAGGAAGAAGGACCUGCACAUGGUGUUUAUCGACCUGGAGAAGGCUUACGACAAAGUCCCCAGGGAGGUGCUUUGGAGAUGCUUGGAGGUGAGUGGAGUACUUCUGGCAUAUAUCAGAGCAAUUAAGGAUAUGUAUGAUGGUGCAAAAACCCAGGUGAGGACGGCGGGAGGAGACUCAGAGCAUUUCACUGUCUUGACAGGAUUGCAUCAGGGAUCUACUCUUAGUCCCUUUUUGUUUGCGUUGGUGAUGGAUAUGGUGACGCGGCGUAUUCAAGUGGAGGUGCCUUGGUGUAUGCUUUUUGCAGACGAUGUAGUUCUGAUAGAUGAGACUCGAGGGGGUGUGAAUGACAAAUUAGAGGUAUGGAGGNNNNNNNNNNNNNNNNNNNNNNNNNNNNNNNNNNNNNNNNNNNNNNNNNNNNNNNNNNNNNNNNNNNNNNNNNNNNNNNNNNNNNNNNNNNNNNNNNNNNNNNNNNNNNNNNNNNNNNNNNNNNNNNNNNNNNNNNNNNNNNNNNNNNNNNNNNNNNNNNNNNNNNNNNNNNNNNNNNNNNNNNNNNNNNNNNNNNNNNNNNNNNNNNNNNNNNNNNNNNNNNNNNNNNNNNNNNNNNNNNNNNNNNNNNNNNNNNNNNNNNNNNNNNNNNNNNNNNNNNNNNNNNNNNNNNNNNNNNNNNNNNNNNNNNNGUCCGGACAGGGUUGCAUCAGGGAUCUACUCUUAGUCCCUUUUUGUUUGCGUUGGUGAUGGAUGUGUUGACGCGGCGUAUUCAAGGGGAGGUGCCGUGGUGUAUGCUUUUUGCAGACGAUGUAGUUCUGAUAGAUGAGACUCGAGGGGGUGUGAAUGACAAAUUAGAGGUGUGGAGGCAAACUCUUGAGUCUAAAGGGUUCAGGGUGAGCAGAAGCAAGACAGAGUAUGUGGAAUGCAAGUUUAAUGACGUGAGGCGGGAGAAUGAGGUAGUAGUGAAGCUGGAAUCAUAGGAGGUAUGUAAGAGGGAUAGUUUCAAGUAUCUCGGGUCCGUGAUCCAGAGUAACGGUGAGAUUGACGAGGAUGUCUCGCACCGUAUUGGGGCGGGAUGGAUGAAGUGGAAGCUCGCAUCGGGUGUGUUGUGUGAUAAGAAGGUGCCGCCUAAGCUGAAAGGCAAAUUCUACAGGGUGGUAGUCCGUCCGGCCAUGUUGUAUGGGGCGGAGUGUUGGCCAGUUAAGAACUCCCACAUCCAAAAAAUGAAGGUGAUAGAAAUGCGGAUGUUGUGUUGGAUGUGUGGGCUGACUAGAGGGGAUAGAGUGCGGAAUGAGACUAUGCGGGAGAAGGUUGGUGAGACUCCAGUGGAGUGCAAGAUGCGGGAAGCCCGAUUGAGAUAGUUCGGACACGUGAAGAGAAGGGGCAUGGAUGCCCCGGUUCGUAGGUAUGAGAGGCUAGCGUUGGAUNNNNNNNNNNNNNNNNNNGGGAAUUACUUGGUGGGGGUUUUAUUCUUGUUAUGAUUCCGUGUUCCAUGUUUUAUUACGAAUCUGUGUGCUUUCCUCUGUUUUCUAAUACUUAUGGGUGCCGUAUUUAUGUUAUGUAAUCUAGUUCUGUGCUUUACUAUGAGUUUGUGUGGUAUCUCGUGACUUGAGCCGGGGGUCUAUCGGAAACAACCUUUCUACUUCUUUAGAGGUAGAGGUAUGGACUGCGUACAUCUUACCCCCCAGACACCACUAGGUGGGAAUACACUGGGUUUGUUGUUGUUGUUGUUGUAUAUAAUUCCUGUUCUGUGAAUAAAAGAUUAUGGCUGCUAAGUUCCAUUACUAGUAUAUGGCUCUUGCUGUCUAGAGCCUUGGGUUACAAGCGUGUUGACGAGAUCAUUUGGGUUAGGACCAAUCAACUUCAGCGAAUCAUCAGAACUGGCCGAACAGGCCAUUGGCUCAAUCACAGCAAGGAACACUGCCUUGUUGGAAUAAAGGGAAAUCCAGAGGUAAACGGGAAUAUUGAUACUGAUGUCAUAGUAGCAGAUGUUCGGAAACGAGUCGUAAGCCAGUCGAGGUGAGAAAAAUGUAGAUUUUUUUUUUCUUUUGGGAAAGGAAAAAGUAGCUAAAAACUAAAAGCUUCAAAGCAUAGAUACAUUUGUUGGUGUUCAUGGAAUUAUUUUUAAAUGUCUGUAAUCUUAGUGUUAUUGUUGAAAUCUACCUCAUGAGCUAGUAAUUGAUGUUGAGUUGGCACGAUGACAUGGCUGCUGAUGUGUUUUUGUUUCUAGAAGAUAGAUAUUUUCUCUUUUAGUCUGUUGCUCGGACUCUUAAAAAUUGUCAAUGGGUACGUAUCGGAUCAUCCAAAAAAGUGUAUUUUUGAAGGAUCUGACAUGGGUGUGGCAAUAGUUUUGGAGAGUCUGAGCAACUUAGGUUUUAGUUUUUAAGUUGUUAGUUUCCUAGUCUUUAGGCAUGUAGUAGUUGGAUUGAUUUAGUUCCUCGUUAUUAGGAAGUUUCUGUUUUGAGUUACUGCACUAUUUUACUUCUGAUAGGUUAGGAUUUCCUUGUAUUUGAACAUCUUCUUCUUCAACUUAAUAAAAUAACCCUUUUCUUCUUCUGUAGUAUGUUUUAUGUUUUUUUUCAUCUGUUAACACCAUCAAAUUGGUAUCAGAGCCCCUCUUUUUAAGGGACUUGUGAGUGACUUGUUAGUGUAGUCUGAGUGAACCAUAAAUGAAGUGCCCUACCUGUUUCCUGAAAAGCCAUCAUCAGAACACAUGGAAAUAGAAAAUUCUUCUGGUUCUUAUGCUAUUUCUGCACCGGUGUUUGAUGGAG